UGUCCGGAUUAUUGGGCGUAAAGGGCUUGUAGGCGGUUUGUCGCGUCUGCCGUGAAAUCCUCUGGCUUAACUGGGGGCGUGCGGUGGGUACGGGCAGGCUUGAGUGCGGUAGGGGAGACUGGAACUCCUGGUGUAGCGGUGGAAUGCGCAGAUAUCAGGAAGAACACCGGUGGCGAAGGCGGGUCUCUGGGCCGUUACUGACGCUGAGGAGCGAAAGCGUGGGGAGCGAACAGGAUUAGAUACCCUGGUAGUCCACGCUGUAAACGUUGGGCACUAGGUGUGGGGGCCACCCGUGGUUUCUGCGCCGUAGCUAACGCUUUAAGUGCCCCGCCUGGGGAGUACGGCCGCAAGGCUAAAACUCAAAGGAAUUGACGGGGGCCCGCACAAGCGGCGGAGCAUGCGGAUUAAUUCGAUGCAACGCGAAGAACCUUACCAAGGCUUGACAUGCACGGCGGCACUGCAGAGAUGUGGUGGCAUUUAGUUGGUCGUGUGCAGGUGGUGCAUGGUUGUCGUCAGCUCGUGUCGUGA
Molecule: ribosomal RNA, 528 nt
Filed under: uncultured bacterium
Lineage: Bacteria
Description: bacterial SSU rRNA
Rfam family: Bacterial small subunit ribosomal RNA
Source: RNAcentral